Long non-coding RNA from Phragmites australis (common reed), 792 nucleotides. RefSeq lists it as uncharacterized. The record is from RefSeq and is a predicted model, not a curated record. NCBI's taxonomy places the organism in Eukaryota, Viridiplantae, Streptophyta, Magnoliopsida, Poales, Poaceae. The transcript has 4 exons.
AUGCAUCUAUCAAUCAUGGUUUGACAGGACAGAAUGGGCAAGCUUGCGAAAUCCUUCUGCAUUUUUUGUUCUUCUCGCCCUUCGGCCCUGCCUUCUCAAGUUCUCAUCCCAAAUUCACCUCCCCGGCAACCUGGCCCUAACAAUUAACAACCUCCUCCCCGCUCCCGCCAUCGUCAAACAACCCCCCGUAGAUCCAUCCGGACCUGGGACUGAUUUCUUCUUUCGUCGGAAUCAGUAUCAAGCUGUUUGGUGAUAAUGGAACCAAAACAUUCGGCUGAAAUGUCCAGGCUUCUGGAGAAGCAAAAUCAAGCCCUAAUAGGAACAUACCGAGCAAUGUCCCAUGAGUUGCAUAAACUUCAGGUGGGCCCCCAGAUAGUAUGAACUUUUACGUCGAGAUUGUUGUCUGGAAGAUGAUAUGUGUAGAUAGUAAUUUGUACAGGUUGAAGAAGAAACAAUCAUGCGCAAGCUAUAUGAGCUUAUGUCUGCAGAAGGCCUUCUUCCAAAGCACAAGAAAGAAAGGCAUCAUGAGGGAGAUGUCGCAGAAUCAACUCCGGAAGGAACACAAAGGACGGGACCAUAGCAAGAUAACUUCAAAUUUGCAGUAUGAUCUGAAUUUGAUAGUAGUUCAACUGAAGAAACAAAUGGUUGCUAUCUUCUCCAUUACAGUACUCUGCCACCUCAACUCAAGUUUCCACGAAGACUGAUUAGCAGUAGAGAAAUUCGGUGUCAACUCGAGAUAUUGACAUGAUUAGUAUUUUCCGAAGUACACAAUGGAAUCUUGAAUUUGACUAA